Molecule: ribosomal RNA, 252 nt
Filed under: uncultured Bacteroidales bacterium
Lineage: Bacteria; Pseudomonadati; Bacteroidota; Bacteroidia; Bacteroidales
Description: partial 16S ribosomal RNA
Rfam family: Bacterial small subunit ribosomal RNA
Source: RNAcentral
UACGGAGGAUGCGAGCGUUAUCCGGAUUUAUUGGGUUUAAAGGGUGCGUAGGCGGAUCGUUAAGUCAGUGGUCAAAUUGAGGGGCUCAACCCCUUCCCGCCAUUGAAACUGGCGUUCUUGAGUGGAAGAGAAGUAUGCGGAAUGCGUGGUGUAGCGGUGAAAUGCUUAGAUAUCAUGAAGAACUCCGAUCGCGAAGGCAAGUGUCCGGGGUGCAACUGACGCUGAGGCUCGAAAGUGCGGGUAUCAAACAGG